CAGUAGCCACGGUAAUACGAAGGGUGCAAGCGUUACUCGGAAUUACUGGGCGUAAAGCGUGCGUAGGCGGCUUCUUAAGUCGGAUGUGAAAUCCCUGAGCUUAACUUAGGAAUUGCAUUCGAUACUGGGAAGCUAGAGUAUGGGAGAGGAUGGUAGAAUUCCAGGUGUAGCGGUGAAAUGCGUAGAGAUCUGGAGGAAUACCGAUGGCGAAGGCAGCCAUCUGGCCUAAUACUGACGCUGAGGUACGAAAGCAUGGGGAGCAAACAGGAUUAGAGACCCCAGUAGUCCCUGUCUCUUAUAC
This 301-nucleotide ribosomal RNA is filed under the name uncultured bacterium. RNAcentral's name for it is "partial 16S ribosomal RNA". It matches the Rfam family "Bacterial small subunit ribosomal RNA", at positions 509 to 807 of the family's 1533-position model. The record is from RNAcentral.